GGUUGUGUAGUCUAGUGGUCAGGACACCGGAUUUUGAGCUUCAUCCUUCCGGUAGCCUGGGUUCGAACCCCAGCACGACCU
The sequence is a transfer RNA, 81 nucleotides long. It matches the Rfam family "tRNA". From Rfam's summary of the family: Transfer RNA (tRNA) molecules are approximately 80 nucleotides in length. Their secondary structure includes four short double-helical elements and three loops (D, anti-codon, and T loops).